CCUACGGGGGGCAGCAGUGAGGAAUAUUGGUCAAUGGCCGGAAGGCUGAACCAGCCAUGCCGCGUGAAGGUCAGUGCCCUAUGGGCGUUAAACUUCUUUUGUGCGGGAGCACUAAUGGUCACGUGUGGUCAGACGAGAGUAUCGUACGAAUAAGCAUCGGCUAACUCCGUGCCAGCAGCCGCGGUAAUACGGGGGAUGCAAGCGUUAUCCGGAUUUACUGGGUGUAAAGGGCGUGUAGCCGGGCUGACAAGUCAGAUGUGAAAUCCGGGGGCUCAACCCCCGAACUGCAUUUGAAACUGUUGGUCUUGAGUAUCGGAGAGGCAGGCGGAAUUCCUAGUGUAGCGGUGAAAUGCGUAGAUAUUAGGAGGAACACCAGUGGCGAAGGCGGCCUGCUGGACGACAACUGACGGUGAGGCGCGAAAGCGUGGGGAGCAAACAGGAUUAGAUACCCUGGUAGUC
Molecule: ribosomal RNA, 459 nt
Filed under: uncultured bacterium
Lineage: Bacteria
Description: partial 16S ribosomal RNA
Rfam family: Bacterial small subunit ribosomal RNA
Source: RNAcentral